This 380-nucleotide ribosomal RNA is filed under the name uncultured cyanobacterium. Its description in RNAcentral is "bacterial SSU rRNA". It matches the Rfam family "Bacterial small subunit ribosomal RNA", at positions 66 to 488 of the family's 1533-position model. The record is from RNAcentral. Lineage: Bacteria; Bacillati; Cyanobacteriota.
ACGGGACCUUUCGGGGUCUAGUGGCGGACGGGUGAGUAACGCGUGAGAACAUGCCCUUAGGUUCGGGACAACAGUUGGAAACGGCUGCUAAUACCGAAUGUGCCGAGAGGUGAAAGAUUAAUUGCCUAGGGAUUGGCUCGCGUCAGAUUAGCUAGUUGGUGGAGUAACGGUUUACCAAGGCGACGAUCUGUAUUUGGUCUGAGAGGAUGACCAGACACACUGGGACUGAGACACGGCCCAGACUCCUACGGGAGGCAGCAGUGGGGAAUUUUCCGCAAUGGGCGAAAGCCUGACGGAGCAAUACCGCGUGAGGGAGGACGGCUUUUGGGUUGUAAACCUCUUUUAUCAGGGAAGAAACAAAUGACGGUACCUGAUGAAUC